AGCUUUGCGUAGUAGCAGUAUUGUAGGCAAUGAGGUUUAUCUGAGGCACGAUUAUUGCUAAUUGUAAACUUUUCUCAAGUUUCAAGUGUAUACCACCUCACCCAGCUUUUAGAUCAGUUUUCAAUUAAAGAGAAUGCUUAACU
Apodemus sylvaticus (European woodmouse) is the source of this 143-nucleotide small nuclear RNA. RefSeq annotates it as U4 spliceosomal RNA. The record is from RefSeq and is a predicted model, not a curated record. Lineage: Eukaryota; Metazoa; Chordata; Mammalia; Rodentia; Muridae. The transcript has a single exon.